RNAcentral lists this long non-coding RNA (3880 nucleotides) under Mytilus galloprovincialis (Mediterranean mussel). The record is from RNAcentral. Lineage: Eukaryota; Metazoa; Mollusca; Bivalvia; Mytilida; Mytilidae.
AAAAUACGAUGAUUGUGUGCAUUUACGGACCUAAAAGCCUAUGGAAUCCCUUUGCCUCUACCUAGGAUACGAAUGGUCUGUUACAAAGAUUUGCUAAUAAUGAUGAGAUUGAAUCCCUAGACACAAUAACGUUCUGGAUUUUUGAUGGCGGAUAAAGUAAAAUAUGCUAAAAAAAGGUUAAGAAUUAUUGAAAAUCAACAGUGUUAAAAUAAUCAAGACAUCGUCAUAUUUAAAAUGAUGUGUAAAACUUAAGUUAUUUUGUAAUAUCAUAACAAUUUCUUUGUCCUGUUUGUAGUAUUAUGGCCUGAUUAAAAAAAAACAUUCAAAAUCUUAGGACCAAUUUUGACCAUUCAUGAACUUACACCUUUUUAAAGAAUGUGAAACUUUACUUUUAUAAUAAAAAAGUAGUGAGUUAUAAAGAUUUAGAACUUAACCUGUUAGAUUGGUAAAAAUAUCUUAACUGGUUUAGUUUGCAGUUUGAUGGUCAAUUCAAUUACUGUGAACGUGUGUGUGCAAAGAGAGAUGCAAAAGAGGGACGAAUGAUACCAGAGGGACGAAAGAUACAGACGAAAGAUACCAGAGGGACGAAAGAUACCAGAGGGACAGUCAAAUUAAUCCAUUUUCAGAUAAACAGAAUAUAAUUAUAAAUGUUAAAGGCAGUCAGAUUAGGGAAUUUAAAAAGAAUGUCAUUGUGACCUCUUUAGAAUGAGAUUCUAGAAAGCGGUGUCUUAAUGGUCGUUAUUUUUAUUCUUUCAGCCAUAUUUUCUUUAUUUCAUUAUUUCGCCCAUCAAUUUAUAAUUCGUUGCCAUAUCCAGACUCUGAAGUGUAAAACAUAUUGUUUUGAUCUAUUUAUUUAAAAAUAUCGAUCAUUCCAGAACUUGUUCAAACUGAACUUUUAAUAAAGAAAAAAACUGAUUUAUGACAAUUCAUAAAUAUAUUUAUAUUGUUUAUACACAAACAAGAUUUAUUUGACAUUGUCGGAUAAUAUUUUUCAUUUCAGAUUUAGAGUUGCUACACCAGUCUUGAUAAUCUAAUAAUAAAUAGAUCCUACAAUUUUAAUGCGUUUUUUUGAUCGGUUUCAUUACUACAUAUUUGACAUAGAUAAUCUACUACUUGAGUUUUUAUACAAAAUAAACUCUUUUUGGCAUUUAACUGUACUAAUUGCGCUGCACAGAUGCGCAUUUGCACAAAUGCCUUUCGGUGAUGAACAAGUUCCAUAUCUUAUUAAACAUGUCGAACAAAUAAAUAAAAAAACAUAUAAAUAUCGUUAUACAUGUAAAUUACUGGUCUAGCAGUUCAUUAGCCGAGUAUUCUACCUAGUUUGUGCAAUAAAAUAUGCGGUCCUAAUUUUCUUCAAGAUGCUCAUUUUGGUCGCUAUUGUCCUUUUAGUGAUGGCAAAAGUCAAAAUAUUUUUAAUUCAAAAAUUAUUAAACAAAAGAAGAGCUUAAAAAAAAACAACUAAUAAUGAAUGUGGCCAAACCCCGCAAAUAACCUGAGCCAUAAAUAAGUUAGUAAUGAUACUAUUAUUCAUUAUUUGUGUUAAAAUUCAGUUUGAGACCAAUGUUUAACCAAAAGUUUGUUUUGCGUAAUUCAUUUUAGCUGCAACCCCUGCAGCAGAUAAUAACUGUGUCUACGAAUCUAUUAUAAUUAUUGACUCCUUUUUGGUUAUUUGUCAUAAUAGAUCGUAGAUUGCAGCUUAAGAUUUCCUUAAGAUUAAAUGUCGUUAAAAGCACACAGUUUCGACAAUACGUAAACAUCCAAAUUGUGGGUUAUGGAACCUUCGAUGUUCACUUAUAAAACAAUCAUUUGUUCCCUAGCACUUGGGCCUUUGGAAUAGAUCAAUUUAAGAACCUUUUAAUUUUUUUUAUUAUUAUAAUUAUGUUGAAAGAAAAGGCAAUAUUUGGCAAACAUAGAUCACGUCCUUCGCUCUUAACACUAGCUCAACAUUUUCAAUAAGUGUCGACUGAAGGGAAACAACCCAAACAAAUAAGUCGGUAAUAUUGGGACAAUAACGGAAAUGUCCAAUAACAUAUAUUGAGUAAUCCACGAAUAUGAACGUAGAUAACAAAAAAUUUCCCGGUUUAUGUCCGAAUCGGGGGAUAUUUCUAAAAGAAUUAAGAAAAAAGGUGUUACGUGAAAGCAACUUUUUAAAAAUAAUUUAUUAAAAAAUGUUAUUAUUAAUUUUACAAUUCCACAUUUCUUUUACCGUAUGUAAGGUAACCCUACAUAUAUUUAACUAUAGUCUUAGACGGCGGAAAAUCAACGUGGGUAACUUGCAUAACUAGGUCGUCGGUAGUCCCAUUAAUUAACGAUAUUGUAACCAAGUGAUGCAUUAACUAAAAUGAAUGCCAGGAAAUAGCAUACACUGAUAAUAUCGUUAGUUGGUUACAUAUUUGAUGAAAAUAACAACAACAUCAUAAAUAAUCUACAGAAAUCAAGUUUGCACAUAUAACAACUACUGGACAAAACAAAAAAGGCAUGAAGUUGUCCGUGGUAGUGGGUGGCACCAACACCCGUGGCAUAUUUUUUUAACGACCUGUCAUUAUCCAAUCGAAAUCCGUGAACUAUGACAAGCCGAGCAUAAUCAUCCAAAUGAAAAAAUAUAUCAUAUUCACAUUUUGUUUGUUAAGUUACAACUACAGUGUCACCCAUUUGUAAAAUUCAAGACUCAUUUGUUUUGUAGAAUGGCGAGUAAUUGGACUGUUUGUGGUGUAUGUAAUUUCCGAAACAUCAACAAAGCAUCAGUAGUGUGGUGUUCAGAAUGUGACGAGGGACUUUGUGGCGAGUGUAGAGAUCACCAUGGUGCAUCAAAAUCAUCUAGGAACCAUGACACUAUUUCAAUUACAGAAUAUCAGAAGCUACCAACAAAUGUGUUAGAGAUAACACAAACAUGUCAAAAACACAAAGAACACUAUCAAACAUUCUGUAAGAAACAUGAUUGCCCGUGCUGUAGGAGGUGUGUUAUUGAGACACAUAAUGAUUGUAAUGAUUUAACAGCAAUAGAAGACAUCGUCAAAAAUGUCAAGUCAUCGAAUGCGUGGUUAGAGGUAGAGCAAAUAUUGGUCCAAAUGUUGAAAAAUGUACAAAGAAUUCGUAACGAUCGCACAGAAAAUUUAAAAUGUCUACAGGAUCAGAAGGUAGAGAUUGAACGUGAUAUAAACCAAACCCGGAAAAUGAUCAACGACCACUUAGACAAAAUACAGGACAAAAUAAUUAAAGAAUUAUAUGCUAAUGAAGAAAAUGAAAGUAAGAGAAUAAAGCUGUUGUUGUGUGAGAUUGAAGACAUUGAAAAAGGGAAUUUCUGACCUCCAAGGUAACCAAAAUAACAUAAGGCAACAUGCAUCAGAACUUCAAACAUUUUUAGCAUUAAAGCACAUUGAAAAAGAGGUUUCUGAUAAAGCAGAAUGUAUUCAGUCCGUCCUUAAGAACGAGGACAUGAAGAUAAAAACACUGGCUUUGGAGGUUAACAAAGACGUACAAAACAUUUGCAGGGCUGAUUGUUUUGGGUCCGUUAGUGUUGAUUCAAAAUCGUGCAAAGUUGUUAUUGACAGUAACAAAAACAAAGAAGCUCAGAUGAUGAUACCUAGUUUAAUUUCCAAAUGCAUAGAUGAUAUCAAACUAAGCAACAAAAAUGCAAAUUGAUUUGCAAUCUGCUGAGAGAGUGUUAGAGGUUGCGCAAUUCUACCAAAUGGCAAGAUGAUGUUCUGUGAUUAUUAUAUAUCGAAAAUUUAAUUGUGUUGAAAAGCAACGGUAUGCAUGAGUUUGAAAUUCGGCUAGAUACACGCGCAUUUGAUUUAGCAUAUUUUGAAAGAGAAAAUUCCAUUGCCGUUACCAGUGGCUAUUAUUCAAAAGUUAUUCACAUUAUUGACCCUAACAGCAG